CAAUGACCUUGGACCUUGCAUCUCUUCGGAGCGUACAGGAGUUUGCCGAAGCAUUCAAAUCCAAGAAUUUACCUCUCCAUGUGCUGAUCUGCAAUGCUGGUAUAUUUGGUGCUAAUUGGCAAUUGACUGAAGAUGGCCUGGAGUCCAUCUUCCAGACCAAUCAUCUGGGGCAUUUUUAUCUCAUUCAGCUCCUCAAAGAUGUUCUCUGCCGCUCAGCUCCUGCACGAGUUGUGAUAGUGUCGUCCGAAUCACACAGGUUCACAGACAUUAAUGACUGCUCAGGAAAACUUGACUUCAAUCGGCUUUCUCCGCCUAAGAAAGAUUACUGGCC
Molecule: long non-coding RNA, 331 nt
Organism: Gekko japonicus
Lineage: Eukaryota; Metazoa; Chordata; Lepidosauria; Squamata; Gekkonidae
Exons: 3
Source: RefSeq, a predicted model, not a curated record